AUUGAACGCUGGCGGAAUGCUUUACACAUGCAAGUCGAACGAUGAACCUUAGCUUGCUAAGGGGAUUAGUGGCGAACGGGUGAGUAAUAUAUCGGAACGUGCCUUGUAAUGGGGGAUAACUAGUCGAAAGAUUAGCUAAUACCGCAUACGCCCUGAGGGGGAAAGUAGGGGAGCUUCGGACCUUACGUUAUAAGAGCGGCCGAUAUCUGAUUAGCUAGUUGGUGGGGUAAUGGCCUACCAAGGCGACGAUCAGUAGCUGGUCUGAGAGGACGACCAGCCACACUGGAACUGAGACACGGUCCAGACUCCUACGGGAGGCAGCAGUGGGGAAUUUUGGACAAUAGGCGCAAGCCUGGUCCAGCCAUUCCGCGUGAGUGAAGAAGGCCUUCGGGUUGUAAAGCUCUUUCGCAAGGGAAGAAAACUUACCAUCGAAUAAAUGGUGAGGCUGACGGUACCUUGAUAAGAAGCACCGGCUAACUACGUG
This 484-nucleotide ribosomal RNA is filed under the name uncultured bacterium. RNAcentral's name for it is "partial 16S ribosomal RNA". It matches the Rfam family "Bacterial small subunit ribosomal RNA", at positions 30 to 507 of the family's 1533-position model. The record is from RNAcentral.